Molecule: ribosomal RNA, 705 nt
Filed under: Phaeobacter sp.
Lineage: Bacteria; Pseudomonadati; Pseudomonadota; Alphaproteobacteria; Rhodobacterales; Roseobacteraceae
Description: bacterial SSU rRNA
Rfam family: Bacterial small subunit ribosomal RNA
Source: RNAcentral
CCCAUGCAAGUCGAGCGCACUCUUCGGAGUGAGCGGCGGACGGGUUAGUAACGCGUGGGAACGUGCCCUUCUCUAAGGAAUAGCCACUGGAAACGGUGAGUAAUACCUUAUACGCCCUUCGGGGGAAAGAUUUAUCGGAGAAGGAUCGGCCCGCGUUAGAUUAGAUAGUUGGUGGGGUAAUGGCCUACCAAGUCUACGAUCUAUAGCUGGUUUUAGAGGAUGAUCAGCAACACUGGGACUGAGACACGGCCCAGACUCCUACGGGAGGCAGCAGUGGGGAAUCUUGGACAAUGGGCGCAAGCCUGAUCCAGCCAUGCCGCGUGAGUGAUGAAGGCCUUAGGGUCGUAAAGCUCUUUCGCCAGAGAUGAUAAUGACAGUAUCUGGUAAAGAAACCCCGGCUAACUCCGUGCCAGCAGCCGCGGUAAUACGGAGGGGGUUAGCGUUGUUCGGAAUUACUGGGCGUAAAGCGCACGUAGGCGGAUCAGAAAGUAUAGGGUGAAAUCCCAGGGCUCAACCCUGGAACUGCCUUGUAAACUCCUGGUCUUGAGUUCGAGAGAGGUGAGUGGAAUUCCGAGUGUAGAGGUGAAAUUCGUAGAUAUUCGGAGGAACACCAGUGGCGAAGGCGGCUCACUGGCUCGAUACUGACGCUGAGGUGCGAAAGUGUGGGGAGCAAACAGGAUUAGAUACCCUGGUAGUCCACACCGU